UAUUCCACUGGAUGGCUCAGUUGGUUAGAGUGUAGUGCUGAUGACACCUAGUUUGCAGGUUCGAUCCCCAUAAGGAAUAG
Molecule: non-coding RNA, 80 nt
Organism: Podarcis lilfordi (Lilford's wall lizard)
Lineage: Eukaryota; Metazoa; Chordata; Lepidosauria; Squamata; Lacertidae
Source: the annotation of a GenBank genome assembly